GAUAGAAAAGGAGAAGUCCUAUGUGAUUCACAAGACUGAGUUCAGAAAAUCUCUGAUCAGAGUAAGAGUGAAUACUAAAAAAGAAUUUUUACGAAAUUUACAUAUGAAUUCGAGUCAAGCCAAUCUAGCAUAUGACUGAUGAUGGGAUUUGAUGAGUUCUCCAUAAUCGCUAUCUAGUCGAAACUCAUGACAAAGAGAUUGUAUCACAUGAUAACUAUACCUAAGGAUUCAUCUUUUUUUUUCUACUGGGUUAUCACUACAUACUGCUAAGCGUUAC
This 277-nucleotide long non-coding RNA is filed under the name Elaeis guineensis (African oil palm). RNAcentral describes it as "long non-coding RNA (EGUI_LNC032938)". The record is from RNAcentral. Lineage: Eukaryota; Viridiplantae; Streptophyta; Magnoliopsida; Arecales; Arecaceae.